UGAUGCACCCACGAGUUCCUCCUCUGCAGCCUCUACUGCUUCUAUCAGACUCUCUUUUCCAAGUUGAAUAUCGGAAUCAUCAACUGCUACUUGUCCUUCAGCAUCAUCCCUUUCCAACUCGACGCUUUCGUUUCCUGGUUGACUCUCGGAAGCAUCAACUGCUGCUUCCUCUGUCGAAUCAGUUUGCAUCCCGACGGUUUCACUUCCAUGUUUCCCCAU
Molecule: long non-coding RNA, 219 nt
Filed under: Arabidopsis lyrata
Lineage: Eukaryota; Viridiplantae; Streptophyta; Magnoliopsida; Brassicales; Brassicaceae
Description: long non-coding RNA (ALYR_LNC003168)
Source: RNAcentral